CCUUGGAACCAUGCAUGUCCUUGGACAUGACACUUGGUCUGUCCUCCACUGGUACCAUAGGAAUAAUAGCAUUCCCUACCUUAGCGGGUAGUCCAUUCACAGUGUUUGAUGAAGGAGGCUGCAGCCUACAAAAGGUCAAGUCUUUCUAAACAAGUUAGUCUAAGUUGUUGCCCUGCUCUGCCUCCUGCCUUUGAGGGUUGCUGAUAAAUACACUAGACUGCAAAACACAAGUGCUGGGGGAAACAGCUAGAGACCAUAGAGGGAUUUCCAAUGAAGGAAAGCUUUGCUUGUGCUCAGCUUUAAUGAAAACAUGUAGCAAAAGAAGAGUGAAGUAUAUGGGAAGGAGUCUGGUAAUCCAGUGCCUCAGGGCUGCUACUGGUUAUUUUCCCCUUUCUAAAAGUAUUAUUUAGCUUCUGAUGACAUCCCUUCCCCGCUUCCCCUUGAAGCACUGGGCAUUGACCGAGGACAGAAGUGGGAGAUUAUGGGUAGCAUGCACUGGUACUCCUAACCAGAUCGCCUGAGGA
Gavialis gangeticus (Gharial) is the source of this 524-nucleotide long non-coding RNA. RefSeq lists it as uncharacterized. The transcript has 3 exons. NCBI's taxonomy places the organism in Eukaryota, Metazoa, Chordata, Crocodylia, Gavialidae. The record is from RefSeq and is a predicted model, not a curated record.